Molecule: ribosomal RNA, 269 nt
Filed under: Isochrysis galbana
Lineage: Eukaryota; Haptophyta; Isochrysidales; Isochrysidaceae
Description: partial Bacterial small subunit ribosomal RNA
Rfam family: Bacterial small subunit ribosomal RNA
Source: RNAcentral
GAAGUAUCUUGGUAUGUAAACCUCUUUUCUCAAGAAAGAAGUUCUGACGGUACUUGAGGAAUAAGCAUCGGCUAACUCCGUGCCAGCAGCCGCGGUAAUACGGAGGGUGCAAGCGUUGUCCGGAUUUAUUGGGUUUAAAGGGUGCGUAGGCGGUUUUAUAAGUCAGUGGUGAAAGACAACAGCUCAACUGUUGAGGUGCCAAUGAUACUGUGGAACUUGAGUACAGACGAGGUAGGCGGAAUUGACAGUGUAGCGGUGAAAUGCAUAGA